This is a non-coding RNA of Danio rerio (zebrafish), 797 nucleotides long. The record is from Ensembl. NCBI's taxonomy places the organism in Eukaryota, Metazoa, Chordata, Actinopteri, Cypriniformes, Danionidae.
UGUAAUUUGAAGAUUGCUAAGGACGGUACAACGGUAGACAAGCUCUGACUGAUCUCAAGGAUGAAGAAUUUCAUAAUUUUUGUCAGCCUAUUAUGCGUGACCCUUGGCUUCCCAGUGGGUUCGCCUUUAUAUAAGAGAGAAAGACGCAGACGUCAGCUGGGUUUUGGUUAUGACUAUGGAUACGGAUACAGAUAUGGACCGGUUUAUCCAUACUAUAAUAUCCCCAUCUAUCAGCCUAACGAUUUCAAUGACAUCACUCCUGAAAUUUACAUUGGUGAUGAUGUAAGACGUCCAGCAACGGUCAAACCCCCUGUUACUGCAACAAGACGUCCAGCAAUGGUCAGACCCCCUGUUACUGCAACAAGACGUCUAACAACAGCACUGGUGAAGCCGGUGCCGUUUAAUAACCUUCAGCCUACAGGAGAACCCUGUCCACAGCCCAGAGGAGACGAUUUAAACAAUGAUCAGCUGCCAGUGUUCGUCUAUGUGGAUCCUAAAGAGUGGAGCUCCAUGGGUGCGGUGGACAGACCCGUGUCUCCUGGUCAGACUGCUUCCAGUGAUCUUCAGCCAGCGUUUGCCAUCGUUCCUGGUGUUUUUCUUCCGACAUCUGAGAACGGCCAAACUGUGAUAAAUCCAAUGGAAGAUCUCAAUAACAGGCUGAAAACCCCAGACAUGUUGAGAGUCGCUGCAUCUGCUAAAAAAGAGAAAGAUUGUUAACUCUUGUAUUUAAAUUUACUACCCUUUCGUUAUGUUGGUGGCUGUUUUGACCCCAUUGACUUAUCAUUUAUUUUAUUUUU